Molecule: long non-coding RNA, 2603 nt
Organism: Oncorhynchus keta (chum salmon)
Lineage: Eukaryota; Metazoa; Chordata; Actinopteri; Salmoniformes; Salmonidae
Exons: 7
Source: RefSeq, a predicted model, not a curated record
UAUCCUCAUCUUUAUUUGAAAUAGAUUACUGGAUUAGCAUAGACAUAAAUAAAUUAAAGGUGAAAGGAUUUUUGUAAACACCAUAUUUCAUUUCACGUCUUUGACAUCUGAGUACAACCAAAUCCUGUUUUCUCAGUCUACUGUUGGCAGGGAAUAAAUAAACUGCCGUUGAUGCCAAGGUAAAAUGUCGUUAAGUAGACUACUCACAAACACCAGGUGGCAGUGUUUCAUUGUAGUAUAUAAUAGAAAAUUGAUCACACACCAAGCAUAGAGAUGGAACCAAUCAUAAAUGCAUUUGUUUAUCUACCUGCCAUCAUUAAUUAUAGCUUUUAACCCUCAACUACAGGUCUAGUGUUUAACCCUCAACUACAGGUCUAGUGUUUAACCCUCAACUACAGGUCUAGUGUUUAACCCUCAACUACAGGUCUAGUGUUUAACCCUCAAUGACAGGUCUAGUGUUUAACCCUCAAUGACAGGUCUAGUGUUUAACCCUCAAUGACAGGUCUAGUGUUUAACCCUCAACUACAGGUCUAGUGUUUAACCCUCAAUGACAGGUCUAGUGUUUAACCCUCAAUGACAGGUCUAGUGUUUAACCCUCAACUACAGGUCUAGUGUUUAACCCUCAAUGACAGGUCUAGUGUUUAACCCUCAAUGACAGGUCUAGUGUUUAACCCUCAACUACAGGUCUAGUGUUUAACCCUCAAUGACAGGUCUAGUGUUUAACCCUCAAUGACAGGUCUAGUGUUUAACCCUCAAUGACAGGUCUAGUGUUUAACCCUCAACUACAGGUCUGGUGUUUAACCCUCAACUACAGGUCUAGUGUUUAACCCUCAACUACAGGUCUAGUGUUUAACCCUCAACUACAGGUCUAGUGUUUAACCCUCAAUGACAGGUCUAGUGUUUAACCCUCAACUACAGGUCUAGUGUUUAACCCUCAACUACAGGUCUAGUGUUUAACCCUCAAUGACAGGUCUAGUGUUUAACCCUCAACUACAGGUCUAGUGUUUAACCCUCAAUGACAGGUCUAGUGUUUAACCCUCAACUACAGGUCUAGUGUUUAACCCUCAACGACAGGUCUAGUGUUUAACCCUCAACUACAGGUCUAGUGUUUAACCCUCAACUACAGGUCUAGUGUUUAACCCUCAAUGACAGGUCUAGUGUUUAACCCUCAACUACAGGUCUAGUGUUUAACCCUCAACUACAGGUCUAGUGUUUAACCCUCAACUACAGGUCUAGUGUUUAACCCUCAACUACAGGUCUAGUGUUUAACCCUCAACUACAGGUCUAGUGUUUAACCCUCAACUACAGGUCUAGUGUUUAACCCUCAACUACAGGUCUAGUGUUUAACCCUCAAUGACAGGUCUAGUGUUUAACCCUCAACUACAGGUCUAGUGUUUAACCCUCAACUACAGGUCUAGUGUUUAACCCUCAACUACAGGUCUAGUGUUUAACCCUCAAUGACAGGUCUAGUGUUUAACCCUCAACUACAUACAGGUCUAGUGUUUAACCCUCAACUACAGGUCUAGUGUUUAACCCUCAACUACAGGUCUAGUGUUUAACCCUCAAUGACAGGUCUAGUGUUUAACCCUCAACUACAUACAGGUCUAGUGUUUAACCCUCAACUACAGGUCUAGUGUUUAACCCUCAAUGACAGGUCUAGUGUAGUUGAGGGUUAAUAACCCUCUGAGCUAUUUCUCUGGCAAACUCAUCACCUCGUUUUCACAGGUUAUGUACACAACUCUCUUUCUCCCUCCCUCUCUCUUCCUCUUUCUCUCAACACCUCCUCUCUCUCCUUUCUCCUUUCUCUUUUCUCCACUCUCUCUCCCCCAUAUCUCUCUCUCAAUCUCCCCUCCUUUUCUCUCUCAUCCUCUCUCUAUGUGCUCCAGGAGAUGAUGAUUCCCACUCAGUCAGUAGUGUGAUUGGUAUGCUCUUGACUUCCCCUCUAGGAAGAGCCAGACAGCUCUACAACUACAGGAUUCAUACCCACCAUGACAACUAUACUCCAUAUAGAGAUUCAUACCCACCAUAACCACUAUACUCCAUAUAGAGGUACAGACCCACCAUAACCACUAUACUCCAUAUAGAGGUACAGACCCAUCAUAACCACUAUACUCCAUAUAGAGAUUCAUACCCACCAUAACCACUAUACUCCAUAUAGAGAUCCCAUACCCACCAUAACCACUAUACUCCAUAUAGAGAUCCCAUACCCACCAUAACCACUAUACUCCAUAUAGAGAUCCCAUACCCACCAUAACCACUAUACUCCAUAUAGAGGGGCACAGCUCCAGGUAAUAGGAUUGGGAAGUGCUGUGGUAUGACCCAAGGCAGUCUGCACAGGAGGAGAUGAAUGCAACUUUUUUUUCCCCCUUUUACAAUGAUGUUUUUCAGUCUUUUUAAACAAUGCCUCCAACUGUUGCUAAAUCCACACAAGGCCACAUUUCUUAUCUGGCUAUUUAUUCAAACAAAAACAAACAAACAAGCAGUUAGUUAGUUAACCCCUAAAGCACUUUAUUACUGUGCUACUUUUCAAUAGCAAAAAAAAACACUGGUGAACUUUUCCUUUUGAAUUCCCAGAUGUUACCUAACUGCUCAUUUUGUGUAUU